AGCAGCCGCGGUAAUUCCAGCUCCAAUAGCGUAUAUUAAAGUUGUUGCAGUUAAAAGCUCGUAGUUGAAUUUCGGGAUUGGCGCAUCGGUCGUGCCUCACGGGGUAUGAACUGGUGCAGUCAAUUUCUCACCUUCUGGAGAACCGCGAUGUCCUUAAUUGGAUGCCGCGGGGAACCAGGACCUUUACUUUAGAAAAAUUAGAGUGUUUAAAGCAGGCAUUUUUGCUUGAAUACAUUAGCAUGGAAUAAUAAAAUAGGACGGCAUGGUUCUAUUUUGUUGGUUUCUAGGACCACCGUAAUGAUUAAUAGGGAUAGUUGGGGGCAUUAGUAUUCAAUUGUCAGAGGUGAAAUUCUUGGAUUUAUUGAAGACUAACUACUGCGAAAGCAUUUGCCAAGGAUGUUUUCAUUAAUCAAGAACGAAAGUUAGGGGAUCGAAGACGAUCAGAUACCGUCGUAGUCUUAACCAUAAACUAUGCCGACUAGGAAUCAGACGAUGUUAAUUUUUAAUGACUCGUUUGGCA
This 520-nucleotide ribosomal RNA is filed under the name uncultured Entrophospora. Its description in RNAcentral is "SSU rRNA". It matches the Rfam family "Eukaryotic small subunit ribosomal RNA", at positions 569 to 1085 of the family's 1831-position model. The record is from RNAcentral. Lineage: Eukaryota; Fungi; Glomeromycota; Glomeromycetes; Entrophosporales; Entrophosporaceae.